GCCGAGGUAGCUCAGCCCGGUAGAGCAGGGGACUGAAAAUCCCUGUGUCAGCGGUUCGAUUCCGCUCCUCGGCACCA
This 77-nucleotide transfer RNA is filed under the name Thermoflexia bacterium. RNAcentral describes it as "tRNA-Phe". It matches the Rfam family "tRNA". From Rfam's summary of the family: Transfer RNA (tRNA) molecules are approximately 80 nucleotides in length. Their secondary structure includes four short double-helical elements and three loops (D, anti-codon, and T loops). The record is from RNAcentral. RNAcentral also lists the same sequence under 1 other name. Lineage: Bacteria; Bacillati; Chloroflexota; Thermoflexia.